Molecule: ribosomal RNA, 477 nt
Filed under: Candidatus Scalindua marina (nom. nud.)
Lineage: Bacteria; Pseudomonadati; Planctomycetota; Candidatus Brocadiia; Candidatus Brocadiales; Candidatus Scalinduaceae
Description: bacterial SSU rRNA
Rfam family: Bacterial small subunit ribosomal RNA
Source: RNAcentral
UUCGCAAUGCCCGAAAGGGUGACGAAGCGACGCCGCGUGGGUGAAGAAGGCCUUCGGGUUGUAAAGCCCUGUCAGGAGUUAUGAAAUGUAGGUGCGAUAAUACCGUGCCUAUUUUACAAAGGCUCCAAAGGAAGCCACGGCUAACUCUGUGCCAGCAGCCGCGGUAAUACAGAGGUGGCAAGCGUUGUUCGGAAUUAUUGGGCGUAAAGAGCACGUAGGUGGGUUUGUAAGUCAGAUGUGAAAGCCUUCUGUUCAACGGAAGAAUUGCAUCUGGAACUGCGAGUCUUGAGUGUAGGAGGGGAGAAUGGAACUUCUGGUGGAGCGGUGAAAUGCGUAGAUAUCAGAAGGAACGCUGGCGGCGAAAGCGAUUCUCUGGCCUAUUACUGACACUGAGUGUGCGAAAGCUAGGGGAGCAAACGGGAUUAGAUACCCCGGUAGUCCUAGCCGUAAACGAUGGGCACUAAGUAGAGGGGUUUU